RNAcentral lists this ribosomal RNA (497 nucleotides) under uncultured bacterium. RNAcentral describes it as "partial 16S ribosomal RNA". It matches the Rfam family "Bacterial small subunit ribosomal RNA", at positions 28 to 507 of the family's 1533-position model. The record is from RNAcentral.
GAUGAACGCUGGCGGCGUGCCUAAUACAUGCAAGUAGAACGCUGAAGCUUGGUGCUUGCACCGAGCGGAUGAGUUGCGAACGGGUGAGUAACGCGUAGGUAACCUGCCUCUUAGCGGGGGAUAACUAUUGGAAACGAUAGCUAAUACCGCAUAAAAGUCGACAUCGCAUGAUGUUGACUUGAAAGGUGCAAUUGCAUCACUAAGAGAUGGACCUGCGUUGUAUUAGCUAGUUGGUGAGGUAACGGCUCACCAAGGCGACGAUACAUAGCCGACCUGAGAGGGUGAUCGGCCACACUGGGACUGAGACACGGCCCAGACUCCUACGGGAGGUAGCAGUAGGGAAUCUUCGGCAAUGGGGGCAACCCUGACCGAGCAACGCCGCGUGAGUGAAGAAGGUUUUCGGAUCGUAAAGCUCUGUUGUAAGAGAAGAACGAGUGUGAGAGUGGAAAGUUCACACUGUGACGGUAACUUACCAGAAAGGGACGGCUAACUACGUG